UACCCCAUCCUGGUACAAUCGAGCACGCAAGAAGCAGGCGUGCAGCCAUGGUCCGAAAUAAUGAUGACACAAUCGUCUGCAGUCACCUUGGGCACCACCAUCUCAACUAAAAAAAUACAUCACAACUUGCAAGCGUCACAUUUGAUACAACAUGAAGGGAAAGAAUGCAUGCAUGACAAACACGUAAACAUGCCCAUAGGUACAUACA
Molecule: long non-coding RNA, 208 nt
Filed under: Elaeis guineensis (African oil palm)
Lineage: Eukaryota; Viridiplantae; Streptophyta; Magnoliopsida; Arecales; Arecaceae
Description: long non-coding RNA (EGUI_LNC026381)
Source: RNAcentral